Molecule: long non-coding RNA, 317 nt
Filed under: Mytilus galloprovincialis (Mediterranean mussel)
Lineage: Eukaryota; Metazoa; Mollusca; Bivalvia; Mytilida; Mytilidae
Source: RNAcentral
GGCUGUUUUUUUUCUAUUUUUAUGUUGGGAUGUACCAGUACCCAUCCAUGUCAAUUUUCUGUUUUUUGUUAGUUAGAUGUAUUUCUAUUUGUAUCCUUAAGCUGAGUUAAAAAAAAUUCCACUGAUUUUCAUAGUUUGUUAUUAUGUUGUAUUGUUACACCACUUUUCCAGGUUAGGGGAAGGGUUAGUGCUUUCAAACUAGUUUAACCCUUCACAAUCGUAUGUGCCUGUCACAAGUCAGGAGCCUGUAGUGGAUUUUUGUUGCUGUGACUGUGUUACAUAUCAUUUUUUACAUAAAUUAAGCCAUUACUUUUCUC